CCUACGGGUGGCAGCAGUGAGGAAUAUUGGUCAAUGGGCUUACGCCUGAACCAGCCAAGUCGCGUGAGGGAAGACUGCCCUAUGGGUUGUAAACCUCUUUUGUCAGGGAGCAACGCCGGCUACGUGUAGCCGGACGGAGAGGACCUGAAGAAAAAGCAUCGGCGAACUCCGUGCCAGCAGCCGCGGUAAGACGGAGGAUGCGAGCGUUAGCCGGAUUGAUUGGGUUUAAAGGGGGCGUAGGCGGAAUGCCAAGUCAGCGGUAAAAUCGCGGGGCUCAACCUCGCUCCGCCGUUGAAACUGGCGUUCUUGAGUGGGCGAUAAGUCUGCGGACUGCGUGGUGUCGCUGU
Molecule: ribosomal RNA, 347 nt
Filed under: uncultured bacterium
Lineage: Bacteria
Description: partial 16S ribosomal RNA
Rfam family: Bacterial small subunit ribosomal RNA
Source: RNAcentral